RNAcentral lists this ribosomal RNA (437 nucleotides) under Heterosigma akashiwo. Its description in RNAcentral is "partial Bacterial large subunit ribosomal RNA". It matches the Rfam family "Bacterial large subunit ribosomal RNA", at positions 1832 to 2277 of the family's 2925-position model. The record is from RNAcentral. Lineage: Eukaryota; Raphidophyceae; Chattonellales; Chattonellaceae.
CGAAAGUCGACGUAUAGGGUGUGACGCCUGCCCGGUGCUGGAAGAUUAAAUGAUGGGGUGCAAGCUCUUGACUGAAGUCCCAGUAAACGGCGGCCGUAACUAUAACGGUCCUAAGGUAGCGAAAUUCCUUGUCGGGUAAGUUCCGACCUGCACGAAUGGCGUAACGACUUCCCCGCUGUCUCCAACAUAGACUCAGCGAAAUUGAAUUACCGGUCAAGAUGCCGGUUACCCGCGGUUAGACGGAAAGACCCCGUGCACCUUUACUACAGCUUCGCACUGGCAUCAGGAUUGUGAUGUGCAGGAUAGGUGGUAGGCUUUGAAGCAGGAACGCUAGUUUCUGUGGAGCCAUCCUUGAGAUACCACCCUUCGCAUUCUUGUUAUCUAACCGCGGUCCGUUAUCCGGAUCCGGGACCAUGCGUGGUGGGUAGUUUGACUGG